UGGGGAAUAUUGCACAAUGGGGGAAACCCUGAUGCAGCAACGCCGCGUGAAGGAAGAAGAUUUUCGGAUUGUAAACUUCUAUCGACAGGGACGAACGAGACGGUACCUGAGUAAGAAGCCCCGGCUAACUACGUGCCAGCAGCCGCGGUAAUACGUAGGGGGCAAGCGUUAUCCGGAAUUACUGGGUGUAAAGGGUGAGUAGGCGGUAAGGCAAGUCAUAUGUGAAAGGCUAAUGCUUAACAAUAGCACUGCAUAAGAAACUACCUAACUAGAGUACAGGAGAGGUAAGCGGAAUUCUCAGUGUAGCGGUGAAAUGCGUAGAUAUUGAGAAGAACACCGGUGGCGAAGGCGGCUUACUGGACUGAAACUGACGCUGAGUCACGAAAGCGUGGGGAGCGAACA
This 402-nucleotide ribosomal RNA is filed under the name uncultured Eubacteriales bacterium. RNAcentral describes it as "uncultured Clostridiales bacterium partial 16S ribosomal RNA". It matches the Rfam family "Bacterial small subunit ribosomal RNA", at positions 355 to 774 of the family's 1533-position model. The record is from RNAcentral. Lineage: Bacteria; Bacillati; Bacillota; Clostridia; Eubacteriales.